GCCAUUCCUCCCUGGUGGAGUGACCCUUUCGGUUUCAAAAUCUCCCCGUCUUCCACCGUUUCCACGUACACGUCGUUUCGCCACUCUUCUUCCCCCCUGUCUCCCUCUCGCCCACUCUCUUCUCCUCCGGUUCCCUCCCCAAAUUCGUCCGUUCGCAGCCCCGGCCCCGGCUGCUCUCCUCCUCCCCGCAGGCCUCCCGCGCCGACGGCGGCGGGGUAUCGCAGGCCAGCCCCACCGGCGCCGCACCGGCGCGGAUCGGUUACCCCCUUCGCCGGUUAAGGCACAACAAUGGCUUCAACUGCUGCAGUACCGGCCACAAAUACAAAUGGGAACCAUGCACUAAGUGUGGAUUCACAUUCCAGCCAAGAUGUUAGGCGGCGAACGGUUGUUGCAAAGAAAAAGCCUACACCUGAGCUUCUUACUGAAGGUGGAGUUAAUGGGGUCUCAGAUGAUAAGGUUUCUAGUAAGAAGGAUAUUGGUCAUACAAGCCGUGGAGAGUCAGUUAUCGACAAACCGAAAUAUUCAUCUGAGGGAAGAAAAGAUGCACUUCCUCCAGCACCUUCUGCUGAACAUCGAAAGAAAAGUACUACUAAACAAGAAAAAGCCAAGUGGGAAACUGCACUAAGUGUGCUGAUGAAGCUUUGCCUUCUUUUUACGGCUUUUGCUUGGAUGGGGCAGGUGUUAUGGGGAUGGCAAAAUGGGGAUCUAUCAUUUACAGCACUUGAUAUGAAGAGCAGACUAUCCAAGGUAGAGGUGUUCAAGAAGACGACUAGGAUGCUCCAGGUGCAACUGGACAUUUUAGAUAAGAAGCUAGGAGAUGAGAUCGGCAAAGCAAAAAGGGACAUCACAAAGCAAUUUGAUGACAAGGGCAAGAAGUUAGAGACAAAGGUGAAGACAUUGGAAGGCAAGGCUGACAUAUUAGACAAGUCACUUGCUGAACUGAGAAACAUGGGUUUUGUCUCCAAGAAAGAAUUUGAUGAGAUUCUGACUCAGUUGAAGAGAAAGAAGGGUUUGGAUGGCACUGGGAGUGAUAUAACCUUAGACGAUGUAAGAAUAUUUGCCAAAGAAAUAGUGGAGAUGGAGAUAGCCAGGCAUGCAGCAGAUGGCCUUGGAAUGGUGGAUUAUGCAUUAGGGUCUGGUGGUGGCAAAGUGGUUAAGCAUUCGGGUGCUUUCAAGAAAGCUAAGAGCAUUCUUCCUCGUCGUAGUGAAAGUCACAAAAUGCUGGAGCCAAGUUUUGGACAGCCAGGAGAAUGUUUUGCACUGGAAGGAAGUGCUGGAUUUGUGGAAAUCAGGCUCAGGACAGGAAUUAUUCCUGAGGCAGUCACUCUAGAGCAUGUCGACAAGAGUGUGGCCUUCGACCGCUCCAGCGCUCCCAAGGAUUUCCAGGUCAGCGGGUGGUACCAAGGAGCAGACGACGAUUCAGACAAGCAACCACGCACGCCGACAAGCCUAGGAGAGUUCACUUACGACCUCGAGAAGAGCAACGCCCAGACCUUCCAGCUAGACAGAACCACCGCCGACGCAUCUGUGGUCAACAUUGUCCGGCUCGACUUCUCCUCGAACCAUGGGCAGCCUGAGCUGACGUGCAUCUACCGCUUCAGGGUGCACGGCAGCGAGCCUGGCUCUCUUCGGCACCGCGGCAUCGUGAGGCCUGAUCUAGUUAGUACCUGUGUGCCUGGGACCAUACGGUCUUCCCUCUUUAGCUUUGAUUGAAGACUUGAAGCCCCUGCGAGACGGUAGGUUCAAGUUGAUUCUAAUCUGUAGCAUAAUGGUGCCACUAUGGACAGACGCUGACUUACUGUUCUUGUUCCUAGCUAGAGGUGCUAAUUGCUUGUAUCUGGCAACUACGAUUGCUCUCUGUACUCUACCGUGGCACUAUUUGUAAUGUAAAAUUAUUAAUUAGGGCGUGAACUGGUGGUGUUCUCGUGUGUUUGGAGUUUUUAUUUGCUGCGAGCUUGCCCUAUAUUUGUUUAUCUCAACUAUUAUGUACAUGACGUGCAACGGUUAUCAAGAUUAAAAC
This 2020-nucleotide ribosomal RNA is filed under the name Triticum aestivum (bread wheat). RNAcentral's name for it is "partial small subunit ribosomal RNA". Lineage: Eukaryota; Viridiplantae; Streptophyta; Magnoliopsida; Poales; Poaceae. The record is from RNAcentral.